Molecule: non-coding RNA, 1181 nt
Organism: Schizosaccharomyces pombe (fission yeast)
Lineage: Eukaryota; Fungi; Ascomycota; Schizosaccharomycetes; Schizosaccharomycetales; Schizosaccharomycetaceae
Source: the annotation of a GenBank genome assembly
UAAUGUACAGAUGAGCUCUAUUACAUGACCGUAUUUUCUAUGACAUUUGGAAUGUCCUUUUUCAUCGACAUCUUUAGGAAUCGGAACUCCUGCGGACACGGGUGAUCGGAAGGAUUUGCGACAGGCUAACUGUAUAAAUGCGCCUACAAGCAAGGAACCUGCCAAAUGAGCAGGAAGAUAAUGGUGUAAAAACAAUUGACGACCCAUGAUAAAGAAUGGAAGAUAAUGAAAGACAUAAGUCAUGUAGAAAAACAUAGUGGAACGGUAAAAGUGGUUACGGACAGUUUCAGGUAAAGUACGAAUACCUCUUUGGCGAAGCAAAAUUUCAGCUGCAGCGACCACCGUCGUACUCAAAACAGUACCGGCAAUGAUCCACCAACCGAUAGGAUUUCCCAAUAAAUAUAUUUGCUUGUUUUCCUCACUUUUAGCCCAAAACGCAAUACCGUGGUGCAAAGUAAACCAAUCAGAAGGAUUAGAACUGUAUGGAUGAAACUCGGUUAACAUAUUAUUUUGUCUAAACAUUGUGAGUUGUAGCUCCAAAUAUUUUUUCCAAAAUGGUAGUUUUUUAGGAAUUUUUUUUUCCUUCUUCAAUCGGCUAUCUUUAAGUCCGAUAAUAUCAUCGAAUGUCCAGAAAAUUGACCCAGUUUGAAUGUUUUUAGCACCAUUGAUUUCUAGCUGUUUAAAUGCCCAAUCUGGAAGUGGCUUUGGAUCAGACCACAUAGCCACAUGAGUGAGUUUAUGGAUCAAUUUGAAAGAAGAAGCUUUGGUAUAUAAAGGUCGCUGAGGAUCAGUAUUAUCACUCAUAACCACUUGAAACAACGUGUACUCAUGUUUUUUCCCAGCAGAUUCAUCUACACUAACUGUAGUAAAUUCUUCAUUAGUAGGAUGGUAUGGGGAAGCAACGUCAUGAGUCAUCAAAUCAGUAUUAGUACCAACGUGAUGGAGUUUAAUAUAGUCCAUAUUUUUCACGGGUACAUUAAGUUUGGCUUCAAUGGGGGGAUCGUAGUGAUCAGCAGGAAGGAUCAUCCAGUAAUUGUUUUCAUCGUCAAAUUGAUAUCCGGUUACUUGUUGUCCACCAGAAGAAAUACGACCAUCGUCAUAAGGAAUAGGGUAUUUUUCAGGAUGAGAAUGAAGAAAUGCGUUCGUUCCCAUGUGUUUAAUAGUGACAAUAUCAUAAUAAU